GAGUUUGAUCCUGGCUCAGAGUGAACGCUGGCGGCGUGCCUAAUACAUGCAAGUCGAACGAUGAAGCUUCUAGCUUGCUAGAAGUGGAUUAGUGGCGCACGGGUGAGUAACGCAUAGGUCAUGUGCCUCUUAGUUUGGGAUAGCCAUUGGAAACGAUGAUUAAUACCAGAUACUCCCUACGGGGGAAAGAUUUAUCGCUAAGAGAUCAGCCUAUGUCCUAUCAGCUUGUUGGUAAGGUAAUGGCUUACCAAGGCUAUGACGGGUAUCCGGCCUGAGAGGGUGAACGGACACACUGGAACUGAGACACGGUCCAGACUCCUACGGGAGGCAGCAGUAGGGAAUAUUGCUCAAUGGGGGAAACCCUGAAGCAGCAACGCCGCGUGGAGGAUGAAGGUUUUAGGAUUGUAAACUCCUUUUGUUAGAGAAGAUAAUGACGGUAUCUAACGAAUAAGCACCGGCUAACUCCGUGCCAGCAGCCGCGGUAAUACGGAGGGUGCAAGCGUUACUCGGAAUCACUGGGCGUAAAGAGCGCGUAGGCGGGAUAGUCAGUCAGGUGUGAAAUCCUAUGGCUUAACCAUAGAACUGCAUUUGAAACUACUAUUCUAGAGUGUGGGAGAGGUAGGUGGAAUUCUUGGUGUAGGGGUAAAAUCCGUAGAGAUCAAGAGGAAUACUCAUUGCGAAGGCGACCUGCUGGAACAUUACUGACGCUGAUUGCGCGAAAGCGUGGGGAGCAAACAGGAUUAGAUACCCUGGUAGUCCACGCCCUAAACGAUGGAUGCUAGUUGUUGGAGGGCUUAGUCUCUCCAGUAAUGCAGCUAACGCAUUAAGCAUCCCGCCUGGGGAGUACGGUCGCAAGAUUAAAACUCAAAGGAAUAGACGGGGACCCGCACAAGCGGUGGAGCAUGUGGUUUAAUUCGAAGAUACACGAAGAACCUUACCUAGGCUUGACAUUGAGAGAAUCCGCUAGAAAUAGUGGAGUGUCUAGCUUGCUAGACCUUGAAAACAGGUGCUGCACGGCUGUCGUCAGCUCGUGUCGUGAGAUGUUGGGUUAAGUCCCGCAACGAGCGCAACCCUCUUUCUUAGUUGCUAACAGGUCAUGCUGAGAACUCUAAGGAUACUGCCUCCGUAAGGAGGAGGAAGGUGGGGACGACGUCAAGUCAUCAUGGCCCUUACGCCUAGGGCUACACACGUGCUACAAUGGGGUGCACAAAGAGAAGCAAUACUGCGAAGUGGAGCCAAUCUUCAAAACGCCUCUCAGUUCGGAUUGUAGGCUGCAACUCGCCUGCAUGAAGCUGGAAUCGCUAGUAAUCGCAAAUCAGCCAUGUUGCGGUGAAUACGUUCCCGGGUCUUGUACUCACCGCCCGUCACACCAUGGGAGUUGUGUUUGCCUUAAGUCAGGAUGCUAAACUAGCUACUGCCCACGGCACACACAGCGACUGGGGUGAAGUCGUAACAAGGUAACCGUAGGUGAACCUGCGGUUGGAUCACC
RNAcentral lists this ribosomal RNA (1489 nucleotides) under Helicobacter pylori Hp H-42. RNAcentral's name for it is "bacterial SSU rRNA". It matches the Rfam family "Bacterial small subunit ribosomal RNA". Lineage: Bacteria; Pseudomonadati; Campylobacterota; Epsilonproteobacteria; Campylobacterales; Helicobacteraceae. The record is from RNAcentral.